Molecule: ribosomal RNA, 459 nt
Filed under: uncultured bacterium
Lineage: Bacteria
Description: partial 16S ribosomal RNA
Rfam family: Bacterial small subunit ribosomal RNA
Source: RNAcentral
CCUACGGGUGGCAGCAGUGAGGAAUAUUGGUCAAUGGGCGAGAGCCUGAACCAGCCAAUUCGCGUGAGGGAAGACGGUCCUAUGGAUUGUAAACCUCUUUUGCCGGGGAGCAAAAAGCGGUACGCGUACCGCAUCGAGAGUACCCGGAGAAAAAGCAUCGGCUAACUCCGUGCCAGCAGCCGCGGUAAUACGGAGGAUGCGAGCGUUAUCCGGAUUUAUUGGGUUUAAAGGGUGCGUAGGCGGAGUGUCAAGUCAGCGGUAAAAUUUCGGGGCUCAACCCCGUCGUGCCGUUGAAACUGACACCCUUGAGUGAGUGAGAAGUAAGCGGAAUGCGUGGUGUAGCGGUGAAAUGCAUAGAUAUCACGCAGAACGCCGAUUGCGAAGGCAGCUUACCGGCGCUCAACUGACGCUGAGGCACGAAAGUGCGGGUAUCGAACAGGAUUAGAUACCCCUGUAGUC